RNAcentral lists this ribosomal RNA (377 nucleotides) under uncultured bacterium. RNAcentral's name for it is "bacterial SSU rRNA". It matches the Rfam family "Bacterial small subunit ribosomal RNA", at positions 28 to 407 of the family's 1533-position model. The record is from RNAcentral.
AUUGAACGCUGGCGGCAUGCUUUACACAUGCAAGUCGAGCGGCAGCGCGGGGGCAACCCUGGCGGCGAGCGGCGAACGGGUGAGGAAACCAUCGGAACGUGCCCGAGAGUGGGGGAUAACGCCGCGAAAGCGGCGCUAAUACCGCAUAUUCUCUGAGGAGGAAAGUGGGGGACCGCAAGGCCUCACGCUCCCGGAGCGGCCGAUGUCGGAUUAGCUAGUUGGUGGGGUAAAGGCUUACCAAGGCGACGAUCCGUAGCUGGUCUGAGAGGAUGAUCAGCCACACUGGGACUGAGACACGGCCCAGACUCCUACGGGAGGCAGCAGUGGGGAAUUUUGGACAAUGGGGGCAACCCUGAUCCAGCCAUGCCGCGUGCGGG